AUCCAACUGAAGAGUUCAAAAUAGGAUGAAAUGCUCAUCCUGGGU
Schistosoma curassoni is the source of this 45-nucleotide non-coding RNA. Lineage: Eukaryota; Metazoa; Platyhelminthes; Trematoda; Strigeidida; Schistosomatidae. The record is from Rfam.